RNAcentral lists this ribosomal RNA (448 nucleotides) under uncultured bacterium. Its description in RNAcentral is "bacterial SSU rRNA". It matches the Rfam family "Bacterial small subunit ribosomal RNA", at positions 331 to 794 of the family's 1533-position model. The record is from RNAcentral.
CCAGACUCCUACGGGAGGCAGCAGUGGGGGAUAUUGCACAAUGGGGGAAACCCUGAUGCAGCGACGCCGCGUGGGCGAAGAAGUAUUUCGGUAUGUAAAGCCCUAUCAGCAGGGAAGAAGAAAUGACGGUACCUGAGUAAGAAGCACCGGCUAAAUGCGUGCCAGCAGCCGCGGUAAUACGUAUGGUGCAAGCGUUAUCCGGAUUUACUGGGUGUAAAGGGAGCGCAGGCGGCACGGCAAGCCUGAUGUGAAAGCCCGCGGCCCAACCGCGGGACUGCAUUGGGAACUACCGGGCUGGAGUGCCGGAGAGGUAGGCGGAAUUCCUAGUGUAGCGGUGAAAUGCGUAGAUAUCAGGAGGAACACCGGUGGCGAAGGCGGCCUGCUGGACCGCGACUGACGUUGAGGCCCGAAAGCGUGGGGAGCAAACAGGAUUAGAUACCCGUGUAAU